This 372-nucleotide ribosomal RNA is filed under the name uncultured organism. Its description in RNAcentral is "bacterial SSU rRNA". It matches the Rfam family "Bacterial small subunit ribosomal RNA", at positions 526 to 896 of the family's 1533-position model. The record is from RNAcentral.
CAGAGGGUGCGAGCGUUGUUCGGAAUUAUUGGGCAUAAAGCGCGUGUAGGCGGUGAUGCAUGUCGGGUGUGAAAGCCCUCAGCUCAACUGAGGAAGUGCGCCCGAAACUGCAUCGCUGGAGUGCCGGAGAGGAAGGCGGAAUUCCCGGUGUAGAGGUGAAAUUCGUAGAUAUCGGGAGGAACACCAGUGGCGAAGGCGGCCUUCUGGACGGACACUGACGCUGAGACGCGAAAGCGUGGGUAGCAAACAGGAUUAGAUACCCUGGUAGUCCACGCCGUAAACGAUGGGAACUAGGUGUGUCGGGUUUUGACCCCUGACGUGCCGUAGCUAACGCAUUAAGUUCCCCGCCUGGGAAGUACGGUCGCAAGACUA